Molecule: ribosomal RNA, 856 nt
Filed under: uncultured bacterium
Lineage: Bacteria
Description: bacterial SSU rRNA
Rfam family: Bacterial small subunit ribosomal RNA
Source: RNAcentral
CUGGCGGCGUGCCUAACACAUGCAAGUCGAACGGUAACAGGUCUUCGGAUGCUGACGAGUGGCGCACGGGUGAGUAACGCGUGGAUAUCUGCCUAUUAGUGGGGGACAACUUUCGGAAACGGAAGCUAAUACCGCAUAAUCUCUACGGAGGAAAGCAGGGGACCUUUCGGGGCCUUGUGCUGAUAGAUGAGUCCGCGUCUGAUUAGCUAGUUGGUAGGGUAAAGGCCUACCAAGGCGAUGAUCAGUAUCUGGUUUGAGAGGAUGAUCAGACACACUGGAACUGAGACACGGUCCAGACUUCUACGGAAGGCAGCAGUGGGGAAUAUUGCACAAUGGGGGAAACCCUGAUGCAGCGACGCCGCGUGUGGGAAGAAGGCUUUAGGGUUGUAAACCACUUUCAAUUGGGAAGAAGAGAUGAGUACUAAUAUUAUUCUGAUUUGACGGUACCUUUAGAAGAAGCACCGGCUAAUUUCGUGCCAGCAGCCGCGGUAAUACGAAAGGUGCAAGCGUUGUUCGGAUUUACUGGGCGUAAAGCGAGUGUAGGUUGUUUAUUAAGUCGGAUGUGAAAUCCCAGGGCUCAACCCUGGAACUGCAUUCGAUACUGAUAGGCUAGAGUUCGGGAGGGGUAAGCGGAAUUCCGUGUGUAGCAGUGAAAUGCGUAGAUAUACGGAGGAACACCUGAGGCGAAGGCGGCUUACUGGACCGAUACUGACACUGAGACUCGAAAGCGUGGGUAGCAAACAGGAUUAGAUACCCUGGUAGUCCACGCCCUAAACGAUGUCAACUAGCCGUUGCGGGUAUCGACCCCUGCAGUGGCGAAGCUAACGCGAUAAGUUGACCGCCUGGGGAGUACGGU